AGAGUUUGAUCCUGGCUCAGGACGAACGCUGGCGGCGCGCCUAACACAUGCAAGUCGAACGAAGCUUAGUUGAUUAAUCCUUCGGGAAGCGUUGAUUAAACUUAGUGGCGGACGGGUGAGUAACACGUGAGGAACCUGCCUUGCAGAGGGGGAUACCGUUUGGAAACGAACGUUAAUACCCCAUAACGUAUCGGGACCGCAUGAUUCUGAUACCAAAGAUUUAUCGCUGUAAGAUGGCCUCGCGUCUGAUUAGAUAGUUGGUGAGGUAACGGCCCACCAAGUCGACGAUCAGUAGCCGGACUGAGAGGUUGAUCGGCCACAUUGGGACUGAGACACGGCCCAGACUCCUACGGGAGGCAGCAGUGGGGGAUAUUGCACAAUGGGCGAAAGCCUGAUGCAGCGACGCCGCGUGAGGGAAGACGGUUUUCGGAUUGUAAACCUCUGUCUUCGGGGACGAAAAAGGACGGUACCCGAGGAGGAAGCCACGGCUAACUACGUGCCAGCAGCCGCGGUAAUACGUAGGUGGCAAGCGUUGUCCGGAAUUACUGGGUGUAAAGGGAGAGUAGGCGGGAUUGCAAGUCCGUUGUUAAAUCUAUCGGCUCAACCGGUAGCUGCGGCGGAAACUGUAGUUCUUGAGUGAAGUAGAGGCAGGCGGAAUUCCUAGUGUAGCGGUGAAAUGCGUAGAUAUUAGGAGGAACACCAGUGGCGAAGGCGGCCUGCUGGGCUUUAACUGACGCUGAGGCUCGAAAGUGUGGGGAGCAAACCAGGAUUAGAUACCCUGGUAGUCCACACUGUAAACGAU
RNAcentral lists this ribosomal RNA (802 nucleotides) under uncultured bacterium. RNAcentral describes it as "bacterial SSU rRNA". It matches the Rfam family "Bacterial small subunit ribosomal RNA", at positions 8 to 810 of the family's 1533-position model. The record is from RNAcentral.